GACGAACGCUGGCGGCGUGCUUAACACAUGCAAGUCGAACGGAAAGGCCCUGCUUUUGUGGGGUGCUCGAGUGGCGAACGGGUGAGUAACACGUGAGUAACCUGCCCUUGACUUUGGGAUAACUUCAGGAAACUGGGGCUAGACCAGACUGGAGACGCUGCGUCCUUGGCGGGGUUGGGAAAUUAAGGGUGGUGGGGAUGGACAGGCGGGCUAUCAGCUUGGUGGUGGGGUAGUGGCUUACCCAAGGUUUGGCGGGUAGCCGGCCUGGGAGGGUGAACGGCGCCCUUGGGACUGAGGGACGGACCAGACUCCAACGGGAGGCAGCAGUGGGGAGUAUUGCACAAUGGGCGGAAGCCUGAGGCAGCAGCGCCGCGGGUGGGAUGACGGGCUUCGGGUUGUAAAACGCUUUCGUCUGUGACGAAGCGUGAAUGACGGUAAUGGGUAAAGAAGCACCGGCUAACUACGUGC
Molecule: ribosomal RNA, 468 nt
Filed under: uncultured bacterium
Lineage: Bacteria
Description: partial 16S ribosomal RNA
Rfam family: Bacterial small subunit ribosomal RNA
Source: RNAcentral